GGAGUGCCUCUGCCCGGCCGCCCCAUCUGGGAGGUGUACCCAACAGCCCUGAAGAGACAGCGACCAUCGAGAACAGGCCAUGAUGAUGAUGGUGGUUUUGUCUAAAAGAAAGGGGGAAAUGUGGGGAAAAGAAAGAGAUCAGAUUGUUACUGUGUCUGUGUAGAAAGAAGUAGACAUAGGAGACUCCAUUUUGUUCUGUACUAAGAAAAAUUCUUCUGCCUUGGGAUGCUGUUAAUCUAUAACCUUACCCUGAACCCCAUGCUCUCUGAAACAUGUGCUGUGCCAACUCAGGGUUAAAUGGAUUAAGGGCGGUGCAAGAUGUGCUUUGUUAAACAGAUGCCUGAAGGCAGCAUGCUCGUUAAGUGUCAUCACCACUCCCUAAUCUCAAGGACCCAGGGACACAAACACUGCGGAAGGCCACAGGGACCUCUGCCUAGGAAAACCAGAGACCUUUGUUCACGUGUUUAUCUGCUGACCUUCUCUCCACUAUUAUCCUAUGAUCCUGCCACAUCCGCCUCUCCGAGAAACACCCAAGAAUGAUCAAUAAAUAAAAAAAUAGCUUAAAAAGAGUCACAGAUCUACAUAUAAGAACUAAAAUUACAGGCAGGGUGCAGUGGCUCACGCCUGUAAUCCCAGCACUUUGGGAGGCUGAGGUGGGCAGAUCACAAGGUCAGGACUUCAAGACCAGCCUGGCCAAUGUGGUAAAACCCCAUCUCUACUAAAAAUACAAAAAUUAGCCAGGCAUGGUGGCGUGCGCCUAUAGUCCCAGGUACUUGGGAGGCUGAGGCAUAAGAAUUGCUUGAACCCGGGAGGCGGAGAUUGCAGUUAGCUGAGCUCAUGCCACUGUACUCCAGCCUGGGCAACCAAGUGAGACUCCAUUCCAAAAAAAUUAAAAACCUAAAAUUACAACAUGUUUAGAAGAAAAUAAUCCUGUGACCCUGGAUUAUGUGGAGUCCUAAUUAGGGAAAAGGAAUCAGGCUGGUGGGAUUGAGGGAAAGCAACAAGAAAAAGCAGAUAAGCUAUAAGUUUUCCUUUCUUCAUGGUCCAGGACACACAGCCCUCCUGAGCAAAUAACUCACAAUCUUCCUGCACCCAGCUAUCACCAGACCCUCAGCUGAUAGAAAAAUGCAAUUUAGUUCACUGCAACGUUGGUGUUAUCAGUAUACACAAAGCCCUCUUCAGUACACAGCACAAGCGCCAUCCUAUAAAAUCCCCAGCAGGCCUUUGUUUCCUUGCAGUUACCUCCACACUUGCUAACUUGCCCAUUGCUUCCUUGCAACAUAUUUUCCUACUUUCUCUAAUAAAUCAGCCUUUCUUAACCUACAACUGUCUUGGUAAAUUCUUUGAACCAUCACGCCACCAGCCCCAGAUAGUCACCACUCACCCAUGACAUUUUGGUGGCCCAUAUAAGGACUCUCUCUCCUUACAGGGAAUCCUCUCCAUUCUCUUUCCCAACUUGUGAUCCUUGGUGGCCAACAUCUGAGCACAGAGACAACUAAAGGUCUCUGGCCAGACCUACACUCCAGUGGGACUGACAGGUGUCCAUGUGGAAGCGUUUGACCCACCACCAGGUUCAGGUGAAGGAC
RNAcentral lists this long non-coding RNA (1586 nucleotides) under Homo sapiens (human). RNAcentral describes it as "HSALNT0331244". The record is from RNAcentral. Lineage: Eukaryota; Metazoa; Chordata; Mammalia; Primates; Hominidae.